UCCGCCAGCAGCCAGCACUCCCAUGGCCCGCCUUUUACCGUUGGUGGCAGCCGCGGCCCUCCUGGGCCCGGCAGCCUCCACCGUUAUUUCCCGACGGCUGUGUGGUGAAGUGGAGGGUGACUUCUAUCAGUUUUCUGCUGACGUCUUGGGUACCAAUGAAACAAUAGACUUUGGAAAUUACCGAGGUCAGGUGGUGUUGGUAGCCAAUGUGGCCACCUACUGAGGGCUCACCAUCGCCUCAUAUACCCAAAUGAAUGCACUGGCGGAGAUCUAUGCAGAUCAGGAAUUCGUCAUCCUUGGAUUUCCUUGUAACCAGUUUGGUCUGCAAGAACCAGGGGCGACUGCCAAUGAGAUCAUUAACGGGAUCAAAUACGUACGUCCCGGAGGUGGCUUUGAGCCCAACAUGACCCUCUUUAGGAAGACUGAAGUCAACGGGGCUGAUGAAGAUCCCAUCUUCACUUUCCUAAAGAGCGGUUGUGAGUACACCGACACCGAAUACUCGUCAGGUCUCUACUACGAGCCUCUCACAAUCGGUGAUAUCCACUGGAACUUUGAAAAGUUCCUGAUUGACAAGACCGGCAAGCCAUACACCCGCUACCAUCCAACCGUGAUCACAACUGCUGCUCUCGAGGAUGACAUAAACACUCUUCUAAGUGCCUAAUGGUGCCAGCAGUCUGAUGUAUCCUUAGGAGCCCCUCACACCCAUCCACACGCAGCAACCCGCCUGUGACGCCAUCGCCAGAAACCUCGAGUGGGCGAUGUCUGAAAUCAGCAGGAGGGCGAGGGCUGUUGUGCAUUCUGGCCGAAGCUCUCCUGCUUGGGGGCGGCUGACGUGGAUGGGCGAGACGGCUGGGUGGGUAUCUGAGUGCUAGGAAGUUUGUUUUCCUAUACUGUUCAUGAAAUAGUAAAGUCUUUUCUCUAACAGAAA
Eriocheir sinensis (Chinese mitten crab) is the source of this 928-nucleotide RNA transcript. It is a transcript of the gene named glutathione peroxidase-like, with no coding region annotated. Lineage: Eukaryota; Metazoa; Arthropoda; Malacostraca; Decapoda; Varunidae. The transcript is spliced from 4 exons. The record is from RefSeq and is a predicted model, not a curated record.